UCUUUUUCGUCUUUUCUCGAAUUCCUUCAAAUCAUCACUCAACGUCGGGUUUUCACCUACACAAUAAAAACAACUAAAUUAGAUAAUAAAUCGCUAAUGAAACUCACAAAUAUCUAUGUUUAAUGGCCCGAAUAAGUGCAAAACCCCACACUUAUCAAUUGUUACAAGGUCUUCCUCUAUUUAUGUUUGAGUAGAUUGGAAUUAUACUUCUCCACGCUAAUCCCAUGAUCCAAUUUUCGAGACGGAUACGCCAGAUGGUAGUUUCUUACCAAGUCAGAGUGGUAGCUUGUUCACUCUUGUCGGUAUCGUCGAGACUAGUUCACAUAUUUUCAAUAGCAGCACCAUUUCUGAUCAGGUUUGAAAUCAUUUUUGGGAUAUAUUUCAUGAAAUCCAGCUAAGGAGUUAGAUCCUAAUUCUUGCGAUGGAAUUACUCGGGUCAGUAUAAAGGCUACUUUUGCACUAUCAUCUCCCUACUUAUAGUUUGGUUCUUAUGGCUUGCAAGGAAUGACGCGAAGCACAAUGACAUACACAUGGAGCCUAAAGGGAUAAUUUGGAAAGUCUAUCAUGAGCAUUCAUUUCUUCAUAUGGUGCUUAGUUAAGACUAGGAUGGACGUUAUAUUGGGGCCUUCUCAUCAUCUUAUGAAGACUGUCUUGUCUUGGAGGUUGAGUUACUCACUAUCUUAGAGGGAUUUCACUUGCUCGACCACUUGAUUUAUCAGACAUUAGGGUAGAGACAGACUCAUUGCAUCACUAAGAGUGGAAAACCAUGGGCAAUUCAGAUCAUUAUCAAAUGGAUUAGACAUCUUCUCUCAUUUGAUCAUGAUACUUGAAAGGGGGCCAAAAAACCCACACAAUAAGUUGCAAGAUACAAUCGAUCACAAUAACAGAAAUUAAACUUGCAGAAAGUAAAGAACACAACAA
RNAcentral lists this long non-coding RNA (921 nucleotides) under Olea europaea (common olive). RNAcentral's name for it is "long non-coding RNA (OEUR_LNC000239)". Lineage: Eukaryota; Viridiplantae; Streptophyta; Magnoliopsida; Lamiales; Oleaceae. The record is from RNAcentral.